UUAUAAUGAUUAUUUUAAGUUAAAUAACAAAUUUGAGUGUUUAACUAUAAUGUUUAAUAGUCGUAAAUUUAAGGGGAAUAAUAAAUCUAUUUCUAUUUAAAGUAUUUUAUUGUAUAUUAUUUUAUAUUCUAGAUUCUGCUCCUGGCUGAAAUUUAAAGUAUUGCAGCUGUAGCCUGUAUACCAUACAUUCAACAUGAAAAGGACUGUCAGGAUGCUGCAUAAAAUGGUCUUAGCUAGAGCCUAGAAUGUUAAUUUCUUGGGAAUAUGCUGCAAGGAACUGACGGGGAGCAGUUUUCCUUACUAAUCAUAGAAGCAGUAAGAGACAGCCAAAGAAUUCCUCAAACACUUGACAUACCCAGAAAGAUCUUGAAGAAAAGAUUGGAACAGAUUGUAGCUUAAUUGUUAAAACUAUUUAAGUGAAUUUAAGCUGCACUUGAACUGCAUUUUUGAAAUAAAAUAUCUGAAGUAUUUAAUAUUGUCUUGAUAUUUUGUUAAACCUGGUUACUUUGCUUUAUAUCCAAAAAUCAAAGUAUGGUGGGUUUUCAACGUUGAAAUGACAUUGAAACUUCAACGUUGUGCCAACGUUGAAGCUGCAACGUUGUAUCAACGUUGAAAUUUCAACGUUGUUUCAACUUUCAAAUCCGAAUAUAAAUCCAACCUUAUUUCAACGUUGAAAUCUGACCAUAAUUCAACGUUGAAACAACGUUGAUGUGCCUGCUGGGUUAUUAUCA
This is a long non-coding RNA of Ruditapes philippinarum (Manila clam), 731 nucleotides long. RefSeq lists it as uncharacterized. The record is from RefSeq and is a predicted model, not a curated record. The transcript has 3 exons. Lineage: Eukaryota; Metazoa; Mollusca; Bivalvia; Venerida; Veneridae.